UACGGAGGGGGCUAGCGUUGUUCGGAAUUACUGGGCGUAAAGCGCACGUAGGCGGCUUAGUAAGUUAGAGGUGAAAGCCCGGGGCUCAACUCCGGAAUUGCCUUUAAGACUGCAUCGCUAGAAUUGUGGAGAGGUAAGUGGAAUUCCGAGUGUAGAGGUGAAAUUCGUAGAUAUUCGGAAGAACACCAGUGGCGAAGGCGACUUACUGGACACAUAUUGACGCUGAGGUGCGAAAGCGUGGGGAGCAAACAGG
Molecule: ribosomal RNA, 253 nt
Filed under: uncultured bacterium
Lineage: Bacteria
Description: partial 16S ribosomal RNA
Rfam family: Bacterial small subunit ribosomal RNA
Source: RNAcentral